GUAGGGAAUAUUGCACAAUGGGGGAAACCCUGAUGCAGCGACGCCGCGUGAGUGAUGAAGGCCUUCGGGUCGUAAAGCUCUGUCGUAUGGGACUAACACAAUGAAGGUACCAUGCAAGAAAGGAUCGGCUAACUUCGUGCCAGCAGCCGCGGUAAGACGAGGGAUCCUAGCGUUGUUCGGUAUUAUUGGGCGUAAAGCGGGUGUAGGCGGAUUUGUAAGUCAGGUGUGAAAUCCCAGGGCUCAACCCUGGAAGUGCACUUGAUACUGCGGAUCUUGAGUGUGGUAGAGGUUACUGGAAUUGUUGGUGUAGUGGUGAAAUACGUAGAUAUCAACAGGAAUACCGGAGGCGAAGGCGAGUAACUGGGCCAACACUGACGCUGAGACCCGAAAGCGUGGGGAUCAAACAGGAUUAGAAACCCUAGUAGUCC
Molecule: ribosomal RNA, 428 nt
Filed under: uncultured bacterium
Lineage: Bacteria
Description: partial 16S ribosomal RNA
Rfam family: Bacterial small subunit ribosomal RNA
Source: RNAcentral